RNAcentral lists this ribosomal RNA (388 nucleotides) under uncultured bacterium. RNAcentral's name for it is "bacterial SSU rRNA". It matches the Rfam family "Bacterial small subunit ribosomal RNA", at positions 30 to 418 of the family's 1533-position model. The record is from RNAcentral.
AUUGAACGCUGGCGGCAUGCCUUACACAUGCAAGUCGAACGGCAGCACGGACUUCGGUCUGGUGGCGAGUGGCGAACGGGUGAGUAAUGCAUCGGAACGUACCCGGUAGUGGGGGAUAACUACCCGAAAGGGUGGCUAAUACCGCAUAUACUGUGCGCAGGAAAGCAGGGGACCUUCGGGCCUUGUGCUACCGGAGCGGCCGAUGUCAGAUUAGGUAGUUGGUGGGGUAACGGCCUACCAAGCCUGCGAUCUGUAGCGGGUCUGAGAGGAUGAUCCGCCACACUGGGACUGAGACACGGCCCAGACUCCUACGGGAGGCAGCAGUGGGGAGUUUUGGACAAUGGGCGCAAGCCUGAUCCAGCCAUGCCGCGUGAGUGAAGAAGGCCUC